Molecule: non-coding RNA, 408 nt
Organism: Podarcis muralis (Common wall lizard)
Lineage: Eukaryota; Metazoa; Chordata; Lepidosauria; Squamata; Lacertidae
Source: RefSeq, a predicted model, not a curated record
CUUCAGUCUAAUGCAGUUUCCAUAUUGGUUGUUGGCUGUGGUUUGGACUCUUCUUCUUCUUCUUUGUGCAAUGCCCAGACAGUGAUAACUACGGAGCCUAAUUAUUCAGUAAAUAAGGAACAAGCAAACAAAUAAAUGUGGGUGGAGGCCAUGGAUGACAGUUUCCUCAGAAAAUGGCAGAAUUGUUGCAAGGCCUGGUCCCUAAUCCCAGGUGUGGAGGAGCCACAUGGAUCUUAGGCCUCAAAAUCCAUGGUCUGCCUAUAGGACCAAGUAAGGAAUACAAUCCCACAGAAGAAAGGGUUUUUUGAUGGCAACCAUAGAUGGUUACAACUACUCAAGUUCAGGUAAGUUAAUUUAUGCUUAAAUAUGUGAUUUACAACAAUGAUCCAUUGUUAUACAUGAAUAAAU